UCGAAAAAACGUAGCGAAAUGCGAUACUUGGUGUGAAUUGCAGAAUCCCGUGAAUCAUCGAGUCUUUGAACGCAAGUUGCGCCCGAAGCCAUUAGGCCGAGGGCACGUCUGCCUGGGCGUCACGC
This 125-nucleotide ribosomal RNA is filed under the name Scabiosa vestina. Its description in RNAcentral is "5.8S ribosomal RNA". It matches the Rfam family "5.8S ribosomal RNA", at positions 39 to 154 of the family's 154-position model. From Rfam's summary of the family: 5.8S ribosomal RNA (5.8S rRNA) is a component of the large subunit of the eukaryotic ribosome. It is transcribed by RNA polymerase I as part of the 45S precursor that also contains 18S and 28S rRNA. Functionally, it is thought that 5.8S rRNA may be involved in ribosome translocation. The record is from RNAcentral. Lineage: Eukaryota; Viridiplantae; Streptophyta; Magnoliopsida; Dipsacales; Caprifoliaceae.